GUCACCUAUCCGCUACCUUAUCCGAACUGAACUAAACCGCACCUGGAAGAGAGACCGUGACUCCGAGAGGGCAAUCGAGCGAGAGGGCCGGCGCGAAGCUGCUGCCUCCUGGGCACCGCGCCGUCGAUGAACCCCCGUGCUCUGUGCUCCUCCAGGAUCCAACCUCGUCGCAAACGGAUCGAGACUGGCGUCCCCGUCGGGCGCCGGGAGGAAGUCAACUCACGCAAGAAGAAACAGGCAUAAUUUGGGUACAGAUUCGCGAAUCUCCUACGAAUUUGGGGAAGUUCCGGAGUCCGUCUCUGUCACGAAUUUGGGCUUCAGCAUCGGAUUCUAUUCGAUCUAUGUAUACAUUUAUAUAUAUAGCCGAGAGGAGCAUUGUCGAGACGAGAAGGAACGGUGAACGGAAGUUUCUCACAUCCGCCGCCGCCCAGUCGCGAUUGUUGAGCCUCCUCAUCGACGACAGUAUUCUCUUUAGGAGGCGCCUCCCCCUCCGCACGCUGGAGUGAGACCACUGAAUCUCGUUUUCUGUUGAUCAUCUCGCCGAAUUAGCCUACUCGACGCAGGCACCGGGUGGGGUGGCAUCAUGCUGUGCGACGAGGACUGUGGAAUCAUCAGGUGGUAUAGUAUUGUGGCCUGGCGGGAUGACGGCAGAUGUGUGCCUCUGCAACAAAAGAAGAAAGGUCAUGCCAUCCAGUGUCGUGGCGGCGCUGCCAGAUGAGAUCAUGACAGAGGUGUUCCUGCGGCUGCCCAUCAAAUCUAUCAUCCGCUUCCGGGCCGUCUGCCGGUCCUGGGCUGCACUGCUCUCAUCCAAGGAAUUCUGCAGCCUUCACAUGGCGGCAACCGAGGUGUCACCAACACCCCCGAAGCUGCUAUUUAUCUCGCCUACAACCAACUUCGAUUCCACUGCUGUUUACUCUUGCUCGCUAUUGGGCCGUGGAGAUGACCUAUUGUUCACCCUCGACUAUGCUCGUGGCAACUUUGUGGAUGUGGUACCUGCGCCAUGCCACGGCCUCACCCUUCUAUAUGAUGCUGUUGCGCCGGCAUACUACGUCUGCAAUGCAGCCACACGGGCAGUCACACGGCUGCCACCGUGCCAAGAUGUGCCAUUUGCCACUGCUGGGCUCGGGUUUGAUACACAGACCAAGGAGUACAAGGUGGUGAGGCUUUUCCAUGGGAGAUUUCAUGAGAUCCAACCUUUCUUUUGUGAGAUUUACACGCUCAGCAGUGGCGGUGGGGAUCAUUGGAGGCCGAUUGCUGGCGGAGUACCCUUCAGGUUCUGCAAAUUUGCUAGUUCGGCUAUUUUGAAUGCAGUGCACUACAAAAUACCACCGCUGUUUGCACAUGGUUUCUGCAUUGGUUGAUAAACCCUUCAUUUUUUAUCAAACUGCCAAGGGCUGGUAUCCUAUCCCUUUCUCUCACAAGCGAGACCUUCAGCUGGGUCCGAUCCCCGCCUUUUGUGGCAUCACAAGUCCACUUAGUAGAGCUUGAUGGUCAUUUGUGUAUGGUCCGGGAUCUCUGCAGUGGCUUGCCUACCUGUGGCAUGCUGGAGAUUUGGAAGCUUGAGGACUAUAGCUCUGGUGAUUGGUCACUAAAUCAUCGAAUUGAUUUAUCAGGGUAUGUGCCAAGCGAAUUUCUUGAGCCACAGGUUGUGAAAGUUAUCGGUUCCUUUGGCAAUAGCAAAUCAAGCAAGAGAAUAAUCAUAGCGACAUCCAAGCACAAGGUUUUUGCCUAUGAUCCUACAUCCGAGACCCUGGGAACCAUUCACUCAACUAUGGAGAUUCAGACAUCUCAUCAAAUUGAGCCCUCUGACAUACGAUUCAGUUUAUGGAAAGAGAGCCUUAUGCCAGUGCAUAAAACGAAGGAAGAGGUAGCCCUCUCAUCUCCCUUGGCUAAGGUGACAAGGGAGAUUCUACUGCGGCUUCCAGCGGAAUCAGUGCAUGAGUUCAAACUUGUCUGUAAGCAAUGGUCCAGAUUGAUUAGGAGCGAGAGCUUUUCUCAUGCAUUUCUUUUGCAUAAGAACAUGGACCGAAGGCUGAAGAUCAUGCUUGUUGGCAAGGGCAGUGGACAACCAGGUUUCAGUUUUAUUCCUUUAAACAAAUGGCUUCAAAAGCCAACUUGUCAAAAUACAUUGUUUGACAUGAAGGUUGUUUGCUCCAAGCCUUGCCAUGGGUUGAAUCUGGUAAGCAUUGAGGAAAAGGAUUAUCUGUACAACCCAUGUAUAGGUUUCCGAAGGAUCCACUUUAACCGUGGAUCGGUUUUGAACCAACAGUGGAAAUUUCCGGCUGGUUGCUUUCAACCUGAAAACAACCCUUUUGCAGUUGGCAGUAAGAAUGUUGGCUUGGGGUUCAACCCAUUGAUUCAGGAGCAUGUUAUUGUGGAAAUUUGCUUUCACUUGAAGGACUACAAUUCUCGUCAGUAUUACUUAAUAUGCUCACUGUGGGAUUGUAACUAUAGGCAGGUCCGACAGCACCUUCCACCACCUCUUCCAGUGAAUGACAUGCCUCCUGCCUAUCUGGAAGGGAUGCUGUACUGGAUGAGUGAACCAAGAUUAGGUCAGAGUGAUAAGCGAGCCAUUGUCUCUUUCAACAUUGCCACUAGUGUUUUUGAUGUCAUCCCUUGCCCUUUAUGCAUUGCGACAUGGAACGACAGCAGUCCUUGUUACGCAUUUGUGGCAGAGCUUGAGGGCUUCUUGUGUGCUGUUCUUGCAGACCCAGUUGCUGAUGAGUUGGAUAUAUGGAAGUGGGAGCUUGGUCAAUGGAAUAGAGCAUAUAAAAUCUAUUUAAAAUCUUGGCCUGACUUCUCCCUUAGAACAAAUAUUGUGGUGCCUUUGGCAAUUGACCCAACAGAUGGGAGGGUGCUACUAAGUACUGGCAGGAAGCUAGGUUUAUACAAUCCAUUGAAACAAGAAAUUGAAAACUCUUUGUCACUUGACCAAAGUCCACCUUUCACACCUAAAAAACAAGCAUCAUGCCUUCGAGUUCUUCCAGAACUUGGUAUUACUAAAUGCACACCUAUUGACAAGAGCUCCUCUCUAUGGGAACCAUCUCUGGAUCGCUAUGAGUCCUUUGCUCAGACCUCUAGUGCUUCAUUAGGGGAGAAUUUGUCAAACUCCAACUCCCAAACUAAGGAGGAUCUGAGAAUGAGCUGUAAGCUUAUGCCUCUGGUUCCUAUGUUGUACGAGGAGAACCUAACAUAUUAUCCUUGUCGUCCGAAAUUAAGACAAUUGGAGUGAUGACUUAUCAGAAGUCGACAUUUGCCACGAUUUCUUUAUGGUUUUGUCAUUUCAAGCAUAGCUUAUUGUACCUUAAUGAAACUCAAGUAUAGGGGGUUUCUUUUUUUGCCUUUCUGCCUGCGUGCAGUAUCUUCAGGACCUCCUGUUGUCAUAGCUGCUAUACCCCCAGCCUUUCCUUUCUGGCACUACUCACUGUAAGUUAUAAUAAAGCAUGGUUGGUUCCUUUUGGUUGCUUUAUUCUUCUGUUUGGAUUUACUAGUGGGCUUAUAGUUUUUGCUCAUCUCAUGGAAGCAACACUGUCAAUUUAUAUUAUGAUGUAGCUGCAUUUCAAGAUUGAAAACAUUUCCUACAGUUAGGGGUGGUAAAGGGCCCAACAUUUUGAACUAGAAAAUCUAAGGAUCGGGCCCUAAAAGGGCCGGGCUCUAAACAUAUGUAUUUUUGAACUAAAAAUUUUAAGGGCUUUAUUGGACUGUGAAGAGGCCAUUAGGGCCAUGGCCCAUUACCACCCCUACCUACAGUAUAUAACAUCUGAAUGUGAAAAUCUGAACUCUGCAUGUAAUACAUGUGAACUAUGAAUAUAACUCUUUACUUAAGUUUAAUCUUCAGUUAAUUACCCAAACUAUGUGCCCUUUUUACUAUUCCAAUCCUGAGCUUCUGGCCAAUUCCUCAGUCAUGAUUGUUGAGCCUCCUCAUCGGCGACCUUAUUCUCUUUAAGAGGCGCCGCCCCCUCCGCACGCUGGACUUGCUGGAGUGAGAUCCACAGAAUCUCGUUUUCUGUCGACCAUCUCACGGGAUUGGCCUAUUCAACCCAGAAUAUGGGUGGGGCAACAGCUGAUAUGAUGCGGUGCAACAGGGUGAUGAAGACUGAAGACUGAUGCGCUGCAGACGAUGUGCUGCAUCUGAAGACUGAAGUAUUCCAGAGGAGUUUCACUCAGAUCAUGGGAAAUGUUAGGAAUUUAGGGACCAUUCUUUUUUAGAAAUGUGUAUGUCGCGUUUGUCCACACAAAGAAUAUGUUCCAGUUUCAAGAGACUGCACUGACGAUGGUAUAUAUGACUAUGAUGGCACUGUUCAGGCACAUCAAGAUGCAAGUCACUUGGUGACCGGCACAGCACGAAUUCACUUUCCCUGUACCUCCAAAUGCAUGACCCGGCCGAGCUUUCUCCUGUGCCCAUCCUGAGCAACGAUGGGCAACCCUACAGCCGUCCAGGUUUCAGCUCAGAGCUCUACCUUCUACAUGGAAAUCAUUUAACGAUGAUUGCUUCAUGCGAUAUUUUGUUUCGAGAAGAGGUUCUCACAUGGUCUGAAUUCUGAAGCUCUGAAUGAGAUCAGCGCAUGCUGAGCAGACGAAAGCCGAGCAAAGCAGAAUCUGGCCAAUAGGCUGUCCACCCUGAGGCACAAGGUGGAGGGCAAGGCGCAAGCCGCAAGCAGGCGAUGGUGUAGGCACGCAACUACGCAAGAGCCGGCACGCGGGCCCCGCCGGCUGGCGCAGCAGGUGGAGCGCAUCUGCACAAAUUUUGUCAAACGCCAUGUAAUUUGGAACGCAGGGAGUAUGGAGUAUUUUGCUAGAAGACUGUUGACGGUGGCUGCGGUUGUUGGAUGUGAAUGAAAUGUUAAAAGAUUGGAUCAUUCGCCUCGUGGCAUUUGGCCCUGUUUAGUUGUAAAAUUCAAAAUUUCAAAACUA
RNA transcript from Panicum virgatum (switchgrass), 4914 nucleotides. It is a transcript of the gene named F-box protein At3g07870-like, with no coding region annotated. The transcript is spliced from 5 exons. The record is from RefSeq and is a predicted model, not a curated record. Lineage: Eukaryota; Viridiplantae; Streptophyta; Magnoliopsida; Poales; Poaceae.